AACGAACGCUGGCGGCAUGCCUAACACAUGCAAGUCGAACGAGACCUUCGGGUCUAGUGGCGCACGGGUGCGUAACGCGUGGGAACCUGCCUUUAGGUUCGGAAUAACUCAGAGAAAUUUGGGCUAAUACCGGAUGAUGUCUUCGGACCAAAGAUUUAUCGCCUUUAGAUGGGCCCGCGUUGGAUUAGCUAGUUGGUGGGGUAAAGGCCUACCAAGGCGACGAUCCAUAGCUGGUCUGAGAGGAUGAUCAGCCACACUGGGACUGAGACACGGCCCAGACUCCUACGGGAGGCAGCAGUGGGGAAUAUUGGACAAUGGGCGAAAGCCUGAUCCAGCAAUGCCGCGUGAGUGAUGAAGGCCUUAGGGUUGUAAAGCUCUUUUACCCGAGAUGAUAAUGACAGUAGCGGGAGAAUAAGCUCCGGCUAACUCCGUG
RNAcentral lists this ribosomal RNA (433 nucleotides) under uncultured bacterium. RNAcentral describes it as "partial 16S ribosomal RNA". It matches the Rfam family "Bacterial small subunit ribosomal RNA", at positions 29 to 507 of the family's 1533-position model. The record is from RNAcentral.